This 575-nucleotide ribosomal RNA is filed under the name Gaeumannomyces graminis. Its description in RNAcentral is "SSU rRNA". It matches the Rfam family "Eukaryotic small subunit ribosomal RNA", at positions 47 to 626 of the family's 1831-position model. The record is from RNAcentral. Lineage: Eukaryota; Fungi; Ascomycota; Sordariomycetes; Magnaporthales; Magnaporthaceae.
AGCCAUGCAUGUCUAAGUAUAAGCAAUUAUACAGCGAAACUGCGAAUGGCUCAUUAAAUCAGUUAUCGUUUAUUUGAUAGUACCUUACUACAUGGAUAACCGUGGUAAUUCUAGAGCUAAUACAUGCUGAAAACCCCGACUUCGGAAGGGGUGUAUUUAUUAGAUUAAAAACCAAUGCCCUCCGGGGCUCACUGGUGAUUCAUGAUAACUUCUCGAAUCGCACGGCCUUGCGCCGGCGAUGGUUCAUUCAAAUUUCUGCCCUAUCAACUUUCGACGGCUGGGUCUUGGCCAGCCGUGGUGACAACGGGUAACGGAGGGUUAGGGCUCGACCCCGGAGAAAACGCCUGAGAAACGGCGUUUACAUCCAAGGAAGGCAGCAGGCGCGCAAAUUACCCAAUGCCGACACGGCGAGGUAGUGACGAGAAAUACUGAUACAGGGCUCUUUUGGGUCUUGUAAUUGGAAUGAGUACAAUUUAAAUCUCUUAACGAGGAACAAUUGGAGGGCAAGUCUGGUGCCAGCAGCCGCGGUAAUUCCAGCUCCAAUAGCGUAUAUUAAAGUUGUUGCAGUUAAAAAG